Molecule: ribosomal RNA, 497 nt
Filed under: uncultured bacterium
Lineage: Bacteria
Description: partial 16S ribosomal RNA
Rfam family: Bacterial small subunit ribosomal RNA
Source: RNAcentral
GAUGAACGCUGGCGGCGUGCCUAAUACAUGCAAGUCGAGCGAACGGACGAGAAGCUUGCUUCUCUGAUGUUAGCGGCGGACGGGUGAGUAACACGUGGAUAACCUACCUAUAAGACUGGGAUAACUUCGGGAAACCGUAGCUAAUACCGGAUAAUAUUUUGAACCGCAUGGUUCAAAAGUGAAAGACGGUCUUGCUGUCACUUAUAGAUGGAUCCGCGCUGCAUUAGCUAGUUGGUAAGGUAACGGCUUACCAAGGCAACGAUGCAUAGCCGACCUGAGAGGGUGAUCGGCCACACUGGAACGGAGACACGGUACAGACUCCUACGGGAGGCAGCAGUAGGGAAUAUUCCGCAAUGGGAGAAAGCCUGACGGAGCAAAGCCGCGUGAGUGAUGAAGGUCUUCGGAUCGUAAAACUCUGUUAUUAGGGAAGAACAGAUGUGUAAGUAACUGUGCACAUCUUGACGGUACCUAAUCAGAAAGCCACGGCUAACUACGUG